AGUGAACGUUGGCGGCGUGGAUUAGGCAUGCAAGUCGAGCGAGAACCGUAGCAAUACGGGGACAGCGGCGAAAGGGACAGUAAUGUGUAGGUACCUACCUCCGGGUUCGGGAUAGCUGCGGGAAACUGCAGGUAAUACCGAAUAACGUCUCCGGACCAAAGGUGUGAUUCCACCUGGAGAGGGGCCUGCAUCCUAUUAGCUUGUUGGCGGGGUAACGGCCCACCAAGGCGACGAUGGGUAGCAGGUGGGAGAGCACGACCCGCGUCAUUGGGACUGGGACACUGCCCAGACACCGACGGGUGGCUGCAGUCGUGAAUCUUCGGCAAUGGGCGCAAGCCUGACCGAGCGACGCCGCGUGCGGGAUGAAGGCCUUCGGGUUGUAAACCGCUGUCGUAGAGGAGGAAAUGCAGGGGGGUUCUCCCCUCUGUUUGACCUAUUCUAGGAGGAAGUACGGGCUAAGUUCGUGCCAGCAGCCGCAGUAA
Molecule: ribosomal RNA, 482 nt
Filed under: uncultured bacterium
Lineage: Bacteria
Description: partial 16S ribosomal RNA
Rfam family: Bacterial small subunit ribosomal RNA
Source: RNAcentral